Long non-coding RNA from Aedes albopictus (Asian tiger mosquito), 2246 nucleotides. RefSeq lists it as uncharacterized. The record is from RefSeq and is a predicted model, not a curated record. The transcript has 2 exons. NCBI's taxonomy places the organism in Eukaryota, Metazoa, Arthropoda, Insecta, Diptera, Culicidae.
GACUUAGAAAAAUGUAUCUUAGGAAUCUGGUUACUGGUUUCAAAAUAGAGAAUAAAAUGUUGGAAAUUCUAAAAAAAAACUAGUUAACUGACGAACUUUUCCUGUGGAAUAAUAUAGCAACUUGUCAUCCAGAAUAUAUUCAGAAAGAUUAAAAAAAUUGCCAUGAAUUCAGCCCAGCUACUCCUCUGUGACAUCUCAUCACAAUGCAGUCCAGAUGCGAUAACGGGGUUACCCUGGACAGGACAUGCUGCUCGCUGCGUGCAUAGCUGAUGGUUUAUCGAGGUUAUCGAGUCAUCAUCAUUGCCCGCAAGCUACCACCGUAGUUAGCCAUGACGCCUUUUGCAUGCGAAAAGAGAUUCUUUUCCUUGGAUGGGGCUGGCUACUAUGAUCGUCCCCCUGCCCGAUUCAGGCAUUGGUAUUGGUAGUCCUGCAAAAUCCGACUGUCGUAGUGCGACGAAAUCGACCUGUUGCGGAGUUUUCUUCGCACAUGUUCGCCACGGCUGCUGUUCCUCCGCGCAAGUUCAUGUCGUCGCCGUUCUUCUGCCUUCUCGAUUCCACAGUACGUUUAUUCCAGCGAGGAACGGGCACAAUAAUUGAAACCAUAUUUUAUUGACUAAUUGACAGUUGAAUAAUCGUUAUCACCAGCUCGUGCACUUGUAACCGUUGCCCGCCAAUUGACGUCUUAUCGCAUCGGGAUCAGGUGUUGUUGUCUAACACCCUCCGAAGUGGGUCUUUUGAAACCACCAAUUGCCGUCCUUCCCGAAAGUGUGAGCAACGUACGAGUGGGGCACACAAGUGGGGAGCAGAAGCCAGGUCAGGCCAUUGAGUGUGCCGAUAGAAAAUAAUAACGCUAAUCAAAUAAGAGAUAGCAUCUCCUUCGGUACCGCAAGUAUUGUUUACUACUGAAGGUUGCUCAAUAGCUGUGCUUGACUUAGGAAUCGACCGAGCAAACCGGCGAACGGCGGCACUGCACACAUGCACACAAAGGCCAGUAAAGUAACUACUUCAGCCGUGCCCCAAGCCCCAACCUCCCAUCCCACCCAUCAGAACCACUCAAGGCCCCAAGCUGCGACCUUCCCAGAACUUGCCUGGCUCUGGGUUUCGCUGUAGUGGUGCCGAUUUUUCGCAUUGCAGGUGCGUAUCAGCCAAUGGGGAACCGGGAUUCGCUGCCACCACUACAGUCCCCAAGCCGGGAUCCGGCUAUCCGUACACGGCGCCAAGUCUCCCCCGACGACACGCAGACAACCAAUCAUCCCCAUCAUCGAUCCAAGUAAGCCAAGUAGCGAGCGAUGCCGUGCCGCAGCAGCUCAGUUCGCUCUGCCAAGUCAACACAUGGCAUGCUACGACGACGGAGGUGAUGGUUGUUAACUGCCGCCGCUGCCGUGCGGAUGUUUUCUACCGAGACGCGCGGCCCAACUGCGAUGCGAUGGUGCCAACCAUCUAGCAGCUAGUUAGCGUCAUGCGGGCGGUAGCCCCAAAAUGAUGCCCCGAAAUGAUGAUGUGUCCGCUACUCUGGUCCAGACAGGCAUACCGCACCGAAUUUGGGAGAGUUGGAGAAGAUUUUUCAGUCGAGCUGAGUCAAACGUGGACUUGCGGUGGUGGUUGUACUGUUGGGGAGCAGACUUGGGGGAACGUUAGCACCAAUACCAAUCGAGCUGGAAAUUCUGGUCCGUCGGAGAGAAGAGAGAGAGAGCCGAGCCACCCGCUUGUGAUGGUGCGGUGGGUGAUGUCGAUCGACCGACGACGGACGAAACCUGAACCGGCUACAAUGUAAUUAUUUACAUUAUUAUUCUCGGAUUCGCAGUCAGCCACCUACCUACCUACCAUCACAUGGGAAGAGGCAGCCAGCGGCACAACGAACGUGGUGGUCGGGUAGGGUUAGGAAUUUGUCCCACCACGUUCAUGUUUUCACCCACUUUGACAAGGCGCGCGAGGGAGCUGCCGUUCGCUCGCUUGCUUGGUAGAAACACAAGAAAAGAAGCUUCCAAGCGCGUCUGCCGUAUUCUUCGGUUGGGUUGAGGUUUCCUCAGGAAUGCGACACGACACAAGAAGAAUAUUAUGGGCGUUGGGACGGCUCAUGUGGACAGUUUAUGGUAACGGGAGAAACUCUUUGCAGGGUGUUCCUCUGAUGCAAGGUGAAUGCGACGUCCUAGCUCGAAGACGUGACUGAUUGGAAUGACGAUUUUGAAAACAAAAUGUUCGAUGUAUUAUAAUACAGUGUGUUUAAAGACUAACUCGAUUUUCAA